RNAcentral lists this transfer RNA (69 nucleotides) under Ictidomys tridecemlineatus (thirteen-lined ground squirrel). RNAcentral's name for it is "Spermophilus tridecemlineatus (thirteen-lined ground squirrel) tRNA". It matches the Rfam family "tRNA". Rfam says of the family: Transfer RNA (tRNA) molecules are approximately 80 nucleotides in length. Their secondary structure includes four short double-helical elements and three loops (D, anti-codon, and T loops). Lineage: Eukaryota; Metazoa; Chordata; Mammalia; Rodentia; Sciuridae. The record is from Rfam by way of RNAcentral.
GGGGCUAUAGCUCAGUGGCAGAGCACUUAUCUGAUGCAUGUGAGGCACUGGGUUCAAUUCUUAGCACCA